Molecule: ribosomal RNA, 301 nt
Filed under: uncultured bacterium
Lineage: Bacteria
Description: partial 16S ribosomal RNA
Rfam family: Bacterial small subunit ribosomal RNA
Source: RNAcentral
CAGCCGCCGCGGGAAUACGUAGGGUGCAAGCGUUAAUCGGAAUUACUGGGCGUAAAGCGUGCGCGGGCGGUUAUAUAAAACAGAUGUGAAAUCCCCGGGCUCAACCUGGGACCUGCAUUUGUGACUGUAUAGCUAGAGUACGGUAGAGGGGGAUGGAAUUCCGCGUGUAGCAGUGAAAUGCGUAGAUAUGCGGAGGAACACCGAUGGCGAAGGCAAUCCCCUGGACCUGUACUGACGCUCAUGCACGAAAGCGUGGGGAGCAAACAGGAUUAGAUACCCCCGUAGUCCCUGUCUCUUAUAC